GUGUUUGCUUUGGCAGCACAUGUAAUAACACUGGAAUAAUACGGAGAAGAUUAGCAUGGUUCCUGAACAAGGAUGACAUGCAAAUUCCUGAAGCAUUCCAUCUUUUU
Molecule: small nuclear RNA, 107 nt
Organism: Callithrix jacchus (white-tufted-ear marmoset)
Lineage: Eukaryota; Metazoa; Chordata; Mammalia; Primates; Cebidae
Source: Ensembl